RNAcentral lists this ribosomal RNA (374 nucleotides) under Episymploce longiloba. RNAcentral's name for it is "partial large subunit ribosomal RNA". The record is from RNAcentral. Lineage: Eukaryota; Metazoa; Arthropoda; Insecta; Blattodea; Blattellidae.
CUCUUUUCGUUUAUUUGAAAAGUAUAACCUGCCCACUGAAUAAUUUUGAAGGGCCGCGGUAAUUUGACCGUGCAAAGGUAGCAUAAUCAUUAGUCUCUUAAUUAGGGGCUGGAAUGAAUGGUUGGACGAGAUAUAUACUGUCUUAUAAUUUGAUUUAGAAUUUAAUUAUUAAGUAAAAAAGCUUAAAUGUUAUUAUGGGACGAGAAGACCCUAUAGAGUUUAAUAAUCAAUUUUGUUUUAUUUGUUUGUUUAUUAAAUUAUGAAUUUGAAUUAUUUUGUUGGGGUGAUGGAAAGAUAAGGAAAACUCUUUUUAUUGAUUAAUAUUAAUAUAUAGAUUUUUGAUCCAUUAAUAGUGAUUAUAAGACUAAAUUACC